ACCUGGCUGGCUCAGUCAGAGUUUGUGACUCUUGAUCUCAGGGUUGUGAGUUCAAGCCCCAUGCUGGGUA
Molecule: transfer RNA, 70 nt
Filed under: Canis lupus familiaris (dog)
Lineage: Eukaryota; Metazoa; Chordata; Mammalia; Carnivora; Canidae
Also listed under: 1 other name
Rfam family: tRNA
About the family: Transfer RNA (tRNA) molecules are approximately 80 nucleotides in length. Their secondary structure includes four short double-helical elements and three loops (D, anti-codon, and T loops).
Source: Rfam by way of RNAcentral